UGGGGGAUAUUGCACAAUGGGCGAAAGCCUGAUGCAGCGACGCCGCGUGGGGGAUGAAGGCCUUCGUGUUGUAAACUGCUUUUGCUCUGAACAAGGCGCACCAUGGGGUGUGUUGAGUGUAGGGGUUGAUUAGCGCCGGCUAACUACGUGCCAGCAGCCGCGGUAAUACGUAGGGCGCGAGCGUUGUCCGGAAUUAUUGGGCGUAAAGGGCUUGUAGGUGGCUGGUUGCGUCUGUCGUGAAAGCUCAUGGCUUAACUGUGGGUUUGCGGUGGGUACGGGCUGGCUUGAGUGCAGUAGGGGAGGCUGGAAUUCCUGGUGUAGCGGUGGAAUGCGCAGAUAUCAGGAGGAAUACCGGUGGCGAAGGCGGGUCUCUGGGCUGUUACUGACACUGAGGAGCGAAAGCAUGGGGAGCGAACAGG
RNAcentral lists this ribosomal RNA (419 nucleotides) under bacterium. RNAcentral describes it as "partial 16S ribosomal RNA". It matches the Rfam family "Bacterial small subunit ribosomal RNA", at positions 355 to 776 of the family's 1533-position model. The record is from RNAcentral.